AGUGAACGCUGGCGGUAGGCCUAACACAUGCAAGUCGAACGGCAGCACAGUAAGAGCUUGCUCUUACGGGUGGCGAGUGGCGGACGGGUGAGGAAUACAUCGGAAUCUACUUUUUCGUGGGGGAUAACGUAGGGAAACUUACGCUAAUACCGCAUACGACCUACGGGUGAAAGCAGGGGAUCUUCGGACCUUGCGCGAUUGAAUGAGCCGAUGUCGGAUUAGCUAGUUGGCGGGGUAAAGGCCCACCAAGGCGACGAUCCGUAGCUGGUCUGAGAGGAUGAUCAGCCACACUGGAACUGAGACACGGUCCAGACUCCUACGGGAGGCAGCAGUGGGGAAUAUUGGACAAUGGGCGCAAGCCUGAUCCAGCCAUACCGCGUGGGUGAAGAAGGCCUUCGGGUUGUAAAGCCCUUUUGUCGGGAAAGAAAAGCAGCAGGUUAAUACCCCGCUGUUCUGACGGUACCCAAAGAAUAAGCACCGGCUAACUUCGU
Molecule: ribosomal RNA, 491 nt
Filed under: uncultured bacterium
Lineage: Bacteria
Description: partial 16S ribosomal RNA
Rfam family: Bacterial small subunit ribosomal RNA
Source: RNAcentral